This 299-nucleotide signal recognition particle RNA is filed under the name Aotus nancymaae (Ma's night monkey). RNAcentral's name for it is "Metazoan signal recognition particle RNA (ENSANAG00000005363.1)". It matches the Rfam family "Metazoan signal recognition particle RNA". From Rfam's summary of the family: The signal recognition particle (SRP) is a universally conserved ribonucleoprotein. It is involved in the co-translational targeting of proteins to membranes. The record is from RNAcentral. Lineage: Eukaryota; Metazoa; Chordata; Mammalia; Primates; Aotidae.
GCUGGGUGCGGUGGCACGUGCCUGUAGUCCCAGCUACUUGGGAGGCUGAGGUGGGAGAUUCGCUUGAGCCCAGGAAUUCUGGGCUGUAGUGUGCUAUGCUGAUCGGAUGUCCGCACUAAGUUCAGCAUCAAUAUGAUGACCUCCCGGGAGUGGGGGACCACCAGGUUGCCUAAGGAGGGAUGAACCGGCCCAGGUCGGAAAUGGAACAGGUCAAAACUCCCUUGCUGAUCAGUAGUGGGAUCGCACCUGUGAAUAGCCACUGCACUCCAGUCUGGGCAAUGUAGCGAGACCCCAUCUCU